This is a non-coding RNA of Phrynosoma platyrhinos (Desert horned lizard), 74 nucleotides long. NCBI's taxonomy places the organism in Eukaryota, Metazoa, Chordata, Lepidosauria, Squamata, Phrynosomatidae. The record is from the annotation of a GenBank genome assembly.
UUCAUGGCAUAGUGGUUUGAGCAUCGAGCUUCAACUCUGGAGACCAGGGUUCAAAUCCCUGCUCAGCCAUGAAG